CACGCCCUAAACGAUGGAUACUAGGUGUUGGUGGUCUUUACCCCACCAGUGCCGAAGCAAACGCGAUAAGUAUCCCGCCUGGGGACUACGGUCGCAAGACUAAAACUCAAAGGAAUUGACGGGGACCCGCACAAGCAGCGGAGCGUGUGGUUUAAUUCGAGGCUACACGAAGAACCUUACCUGGGUUUGACAUGCUAGUGGUAGCGACGCGAAAGCCGAGCGACCCUUCGGGGAGCUAGCACAGGUGC
RNAcentral lists this ribosomal RNA (248 nucleotides) under uncultured bacterium. Its description in RNAcentral is "partial 16S ribosomal RNA". It matches the Rfam family "Bacterial small subunit ribosomal RNA", at positions 796 to 1041 of the family's 1533-position model. The record is from RNAcentral.